This is a non-coding RNA of Brassica rapa (field mustard), 104 nucleotides long. Lineage: Eukaryota; Viridiplantae; Streptophyta; Magnoliopsida; Brassicales; Brassicaceae. The record is from Rfam.
GGAAUAUAAAAAACUGACUCUUAACUUUUAACUAAAAAAACUAAGAAUCGGCUCGGUUCUUAGCUUUUUUUAGUUAAAAGUUAAGAGACUAUUUUUUAUAUUCC